AAUUUUUUUUGCUACAUCUGAUAUAGCACUUCCCGAUAUCAGUGGCUCUCAUUUCGUCGAGUUGGCGCGGGUGAAGAUGAAAUUUAGUGCUGGUGUGAUUGCGGCCGAAACGAGUCAAAUUGAAGAGAAGAACCGCGAACUUGCGAAUCAAAUACUAAGCUAUAGCGAAAAUCAGGGAGGGACUCGUCUUGAGGCUUUGAAGAGAGAAAACAAGACUCUGGAAUAUAAGAUUAACGCAGGCGAAAGGGCUGGAAACAUACUCGAGGCUGAAAUACGCCAGCUACGCCGUGAGUGCCGUUCGAAAGAAAGGGCAUUGCAGGCCCUUCUGACGGUGGUACUACACUUCGACAGUGAGCGGAAGCUGCUCGAAGAGGAAUUGCAAAGAGAGAAAGAAUGUCUUCCAGAAUUACUGAACCUGUCCUUAGAAAAGAUGGCGGAGAUGAUCUUCCGAGUGUUCUGAGUUUUGUACUAGUGUCUUAAAACCGUUUAGGGUGAAGAAUCGAUGAUGGACUUGCAGCGCUGAAUGCUGCUGCACUAUCCAAUUCCUCCCCCGAUAUAGUACAGGCUGAUAAGAUGGGUCUAUCCAAGCGCAAAGUUUAUGAUCGCAACUUCCAAAAAUCCGAGGUUAUCAAGUACUUGGUACUCAAACAAAAACUUCAGCACAUAUCACUUCCCCUAAUCAUCAAAGGCACGAGAAAAACGUCUAUUCAGAAAAUCGCUCAACCAUGCCCCAAAAAAAUGUUGAUUCCAUUAUUUGCUUUUUUCUCGUCUACCUCAGCUAACUUUCUUGAUAUCUUUGUUACCGAAAAACAUGCGUAGAUGGCCUGUUUCAAAAAGAUACCAACCAGGACUAUCUUGUGUUUUUGUACAAGGCAAGCGUGCAUGAGUACAACGAGGGGUUCGGGCCCAGCGUGGUAAUCAAGCUUGACGGCGACGAAACCGUGUGGAAACGCAGUCGGAACAAAUGGAACUCUUUCGACAAAAUUAAGACGAUUUCUGACUUACACACCAAUAGCGAGGAUAUCGAAGUUAUCUGGGACCAUCUACACCUCAACUCGUUCUACAUCACCGAGAGAAUGUACUAUUAUCUUGACCAUGAGAAGCACAAAGAUAAACUUCAGACGCUUCGAGCUAAGCUCUACAUUACGAGACUCCAACAAAGAACCGAGCGAACACUCUUACUCCAGUUCAUCAUGGAAAAAAUACGAGAUGACAAGAUUAAAACAAAAAAACCAAACAAAAUCUGCUUUAAAAAGCAAAAUCUUUUGAAAACGCAAUCCACCCCAGACGACUUGCAGCUACCUCAUCCAGCCAAACUCCCCUCCACCUUUCAGCGUCAAAAAUCAUUUCUGAAACAACCUAAACAAUCAUGUACCGCUGCCCCUCCUCUUAACAGUAAAAAACGCAAACGAAUGUCACUAUCUUCAGGAAAUACCCAAAAUUCUGAUCGCUCAAAACUCAAUUCAGCCCAGCAAAACCCUCUCUAUAGCUUCCCGGUAUUUUCGCCUCCUAAUCUCAACGCCAUUCAAUAUAACAACAAUAACUCCCAAUCUAACAACUCACUCCUCGUCAGGCCACUGGCUCUUAAACCUCAAGCACAUGGCUAUUGGUCCGUCCAGUUCCCUGACUCUACGAUUCAGACCGCAAGGCAAUCCAAUCACGGCUUCUACACCCAGCCACUGAGCUGCAUUCACCAACAACCACAAACCAACAAUGACCUUCCAAAUAUGAAUCUAUCCCUUUACCCUUUUUACAAUUCUCAAAUAACUCAGAAAUGUCCCUUCAAUUGUUCACCUAACUAUGCCGUCACUUAUCCCAGUGGCCUCCCAGAAGACAAAAAUUAUUCGAGAGCAACGAGUUACCCUGCCUCGUAUCAAUAUCAUCAUUCCUCUAGUGACCGUGCUGAACUUAAUCUCCCCUCUCCCAAACAGAUUUCUCCUUUUAUUGACCCUAGAAUGACCCUGCACGAUCCAAAUCUAUCAAGUCUGUCAACAAAGAACAUACUGCAAAUGUUCGAUCAGGAAAGCAACACAAUGCUCCCUAUAGGCGCCCUCUAUUUUCCUUCCUUCGACAUCAAUCAAUCAAUUCCAGUUCAAUCGCUUCAUCCUCUACCGCCAAAACAAUGACAGAACCCUUACUGUCCCAAUAGUGCCUGAAAUACCAACAGUCGACCGCAUCUAUUGUCUCGUCUAUUCACCUUUUCUUUUGAACUUGACAUAAACUGCGUAUUGAAAAUGCUUCUGACCAUUAAAAUAUUCGCAGGCGUGAUCGCUGAAUUUUAAAAAUUCCUUUUAUUCGCAUUCGAGACCGAGCUUGUGCAAAAGCGGAGUCCUCACAAAUCAAUUUUUAAAAUUGCUAUAAACUCGCCUGAAGAAAUAGAA
This is an RNA transcript of Schistocerca gregaria, 2381 nucleotides long. RefSeq lists it as uncharacterized. The record is from RefSeq and is a predicted model, not a curated record. NCBI's taxonomy places the organism in Eukaryota, Metazoa, Arthropoda, Insecta, Orthoptera, Acrididae. The transcript has 4 exons.